RNAcentral lists this ribosomal RNA (253 nucleotides) under uncultured bacterium. RNAcentral describes it as "partial 16S ribosomal RNA". It matches the Rfam family "Bacterial small subunit ribosomal RNA", at positions 524 to 776 of the family's 1533-position model. The record is from RNAcentral.
UACGGGGGGGGUAAGCGUUGUUCGGAAUUACUGGGCGUAAAGGGCUCGUAGGCGGCCAACUAAGUCAGACGUGAAAUCCCUCAGCUUAACUGGGGAACUGCGUCUGAUACUGGAUGGCUUGGAUCCGGGAGAGGGAUGCGGAAUUCCAGGUGUAGCGGUGAAAUGCGUAGAUAUCUGGAGGAACACCGGUGGCGAAGGCGGCAUCCUGGACCGGUACUGACGCUGAGGCGCGAAAGCUAGGGGAGCAAACGGG